GGCGCCUCUUGGACCCUUUUGGGAAAGAGCUAUGCCUGGAGGUCAUGCUGGAGAAUGUAUGGAAUCUACUCUCUGUGGGGCUUCCAGUUCCUAGAGAAAAUUUUAUCUCCUUUUUUCUGCAAGGGGAAGCACCAUGUCUGCUAGAGCAAAAAGACCCAAGGAACUCCUGUCAAGAGGCUGAGACUCCUUUCGAAGUGAAGGAGAUAUCUACAAAGCUGAGCCUUUUUGUGGAAGGAUGUGGCCCCCAUAGAUGCAUGAAUGAGGGUCCCUGUGACUUCAUUUUGAGAGAAAUCGUUGACUCUAAUAUCAAGGUAAAUAAAAAUCCAAAGAGUGACUGUGAAGCUAAUGAAACUGCAGAGAAAUCCAGCCAAU
Gracilinanus agilis (Agile Gracile Mouse Opossum) is the source of this 372-nucleotide long non-coding RNA. RefSeq lists it as uncharacterized. The transcript is spliced from 3 exons. Lineage: Eukaryota; Metazoa; Chordata; Mammalia; Didelphimorphia; Didelphidae. The record is from RefSeq and is a predicted model, not a curated record.